Molecule: microRNA precursor, 100 nt
Filed under: Nomascus leucogenys (northern white-cheeked gibbon)
Lineage: Eukaryota; Metazoa; Chordata; Mammalia; Primates; Hylobatidae
Description: miRNA (ENSNLEG00000032886.1)
Source: RNAcentral
GAGGUGGGAGGAUCGCUUGAGCCCAGGAGGUCGAGGCUGCAGUGAGCUGUGAUUGUACCACUGCACUCCAGCCUGAGUGACAGAGCAAGACCCUGUCUCA